RNAcentral lists this ribosomal RNA (429 nucleotides) under Rana temporaria (common frog). RNAcentral's name for it is "partial 16S ribosomal RNA". It matches the Rfam family "Bacterial large subunit ribosomal RNA", at positions 1948 to 2545 of the family's 2925-position model. Lineage: Eukaryota; Metazoa; Chordata; Amphibia; Anura; Ranidae. The record is from RNAcentral.
GUGCGAAGGUAGCAUAAUCACUUGUUCUUUAAAUGAGGACUUGUAUCAACGGCACUACGAGGGCUAUACUGUCUCCUUUUUCUAAUCAGUGAAACUGAUCUCCCCGUGAAGAAGCGGGGAUCAAAAUAUAAGACGAGAAGACCCCAUGGAGCUUUAAACUCAUCACGCACCUCUGUGCCCUCAUACCCUUAAACACAAGAGAUCUACGUGCUAGUUUUAGGUUGGGGGGACCACGGAGUAUAACUUAACCUCCAUAACAAAUGGGCUAACACCCUUAUCCAUGAGACACAGCUCUAAGAAUUACUAAACUAAUGCUUAUGACCCGAUAUUCGAUCAAUGAACCAAGUUACCCUGGGGAUAACAGCGCAAUCUACUUCAAGAGCCCAUAUCGACAAGUAGGUUUACGACCUCGAUGUUGGAUCAGGGUAU